RNAcentral lists this unclassified non-coding RNA (1484 nucleotides) under Aphidius gifuensis. Its description in RNAcentral is "thioredoxin-related transmembrane protein 2 homolog, transcript variant X1". Lineage: Eukaryota; Metazoa; Arthropoda; Insecta; Hymenoptera; Braconidae. The record is from RNAcentral.
UAAUGUUUAUAAUUUUGAGGUGAAAUGUCUAAAUGACGAUGACAAUUAGCGACAGCAUCUCCCCCUGGAUUUGUCUAUUGUUAAACGUCAAUAAAAAAAAUAAAUAAAAUAGACAAACUAAUUUUUCUCUCAGCUAUUUCCUGCAAUUUUCCAGUAGGUCAAGCCUUUAAUAAUUAUUUUAAACAAGUGAUAAUAAUGCUCGAUAAUUAAAUUUAUAAAAAGCUUCAAUAGUUCAAUAACUUUGAAUUUCUUAAAUAAAUAAAUACACAAUUAUAAUCAAAAUAAAGUUACUCCAUUUUAUUUGACACCUGACAAGUAAACACAAAAAAAAUCAAGCCAAAAUGUCCAUAAAAAAGGAUCUUCGAUUAUUAAUAAAACCAUAUUAUUUAAUAAAUAUUUUUUUAAGUGUUUCAUAUAUUAUUGGUAAAAAAAUAUCAUGGGUUUGUUUAAAUAUAUUUGCAAAAAGAGACUGUGAGCUUGAUGGGAAAGAAACUGAAAUAUUAUUUUUCUUGAUGAUUGUCAUAAUGAUUAGAACAAGAAAAGCUGGAAGUAUAACAAUGAUAAAUUAUUUAUCAGCAAGUUUUCUUUAUACUAAAUUAACAAAUAUUAUCCUGUGGUUUUAUGCUGAUAUUAGAUUGGGAAUAUUAUUUGGAAUUCUUGUUAUACUCUGUGGAUUAUUGUUGCCUGAGCCAACUUAUCAAGGACCAGAAAAUAUAACUUAUAUACAUGGUGAAAGAGGUUUGAAGGAUGAACUUCAACGUGAUACUAAAGUUACCUGGCUCAUUGCAUUUUAUACUGCAUGGAGUCCACCAUGUGUUACUCUUGCUCCAGUAUUUUCACAAAUUUCAGCAGAAUAUGCAUUGGAUAAUUUUAAAUUUGGUAAAAUUGAUGUUGGAAGACAUCCAGAUGCAGCAGCUAAAUAUCAAAUAAAUGAUGCCAGUACCAGCAGACAAUUACCAACUUUGAUUCUCUUUCAAAAUGGAAAAGAAGUUGAACGUCGUCCAUAUGGUGAUAGCAAAGGAAAGCUAGUCAAAUUUUUAUUUUCAUUAGAUAAUAUUAAAGCAGCAUUUGAUUUAAAUACUGUUUACAAAACAUGUAAAGAAAAUCCAUUAACAAAGAAAGAUAAAAAAGCAAAAAAAACUGAAUAAAUUAGAAGAAACAAAUUUAUUUAUUUUAAACAGCUUUUCAUUUACUGGACAGCUAAUUAACUUAUUUUUGCUUUAAAAAUUUUUCAACUUAUUUUAUUAUGCAAUGUAUUUUUUUUAUAUAAUACAUCUUUUCAUUCAUCUCAUUUGUAAAAAUGAAAAAAAAUAUAUUUAUUAGUCAUUAUUAUCGAGUUAUGUUGGUCACAUAAUAGGUGAAAUAAUUAAUUACAUUGAUGGCUGGAUUUACCAGAUUCUUUGUGUGCAAAAAAACAAUAAUAAUAACCAUUCAACAAAAUUAUAAAUAAAAUAAAUAUUAAGUAAAUUAAUAAAAAUGUCAAA